UACGUAGGUGGCAAGCGUUGUCCGGAAUUAUUGGGCGUAAAGCGCGCGCAGGCGGCCUCUUAAGUCUGAUGUGAAAGCCCCCGGCUCAACCGGGGAGGGCCGUUGGAAACUGGGAGGCUUGAGUAUAGGAGAGAAGAGUGGAAUUCCACGUGUAGCGGUGAAAUGCGUAGAGAUGUGGAGGAACACCAGUGGCGAAGGCGACUCUUUGGCCUAUAACUGACGCUGAGGCGCGAAAGCGUGGGGAGCAAACAGG
RNAcentral lists this ribosomal RNA (253 nucleotides) under uncultured bacterium. RNAcentral's name for it is "partial 16S ribosomal RNA". It matches the Rfam family "Bacterial small subunit ribosomal RNA", at positions 524 to 776 of the family's 1533-position model. The record is from RNAcentral.